Molecule: long non-coding RNA, 2095 nt
Filed under: Homo sapiens (human)
Lineage: Eukaryota; Metazoa; Chordata; Mammalia; Primates; Hominidae
Description: HSALNT0202288
Source: RNAcentral
ACGGAGUUGUACCACUACUAUCAGGCCAAGAAAUAGAACAUUACCAGUACCCUGGAAAUGAGAUCCUGCUCCUCUAUGGUUAUUACACGCCUUUAAAGAUGACUGGGUAGGGACCAUUUCUGGCCUGGGUGACUUUGGCAUCUAGAUACUUGCAUACAUCUGAUAUCCAAUUGUUCCAGUGCAAUUUAUUGAAUAGACUUUUUCUUCAUUGAAUUACCUCAGUGCCUUUGUUGAAAAUAAAUUGGCCAUAAAUGUCUAUGCUGCUUGAAUUUCUGUGUACAGUUGUGAACAAUUUGACCCUGGUAUCUUCUCUGAUGAAAAUCAGAAGCUAGUGGAGAAGACAGAUAUUAAAAGCAAUUAAAGUAAAGUAUGAGGAAACAGUCCUUAUUGACUCCUGAGAGGAACCAACAUUCAUUCAAGCAAUGAGAUAUGAUGAAAUCCAGUUGACCAGGCAAAACAUAGAGCCUACUUGGGAUGGAGAAAUCAACAGAGAAUUUUUCCAUUAGAGGUAGCUCAUUGGUGAGAAUGUAUGAUAUCACUAUGAUGGGAGAAAUGGAAAUUGUGUAUUUAAAUGUUUGUAUUCAUACUUUAGUAUAGGUAAGAGGCAUGCACACCAGAAAUUAUUACAUGGUUAAGAUGAUGAUGUAUAUUUUGAUUGUUCUUUCAAAUUUUUCCUUGCACAGAGCAUAACCACAAUUUAUUUAAUGUAUGAUUAAAAUCAUUAAUACUCUGAUGAAACAAACUAUCUAAAUUGAGAAAAGUGUUUUCCUAUAUUAAGAAUAUUUCUUGCACAUAUCCUAAUUCUUGGUCUACUUAAGCCAUGCACGUCUCUCUCUCUAUGUCACUCUCUCUCUCUCUCUCUCUCUCUGUGUGUGUGUGUGUGUGUGUGUGUGUGUGUGUGAGAGAAAGAGAGAGAGAGAGAAGGAGGUAGACUGUCCAUGGGCAUAUGUCCUGAGCCUUCGUUAAUUUAAUUAGUAUAGCUGCCAUAAAUCUCUAAGUUAGUAAUUUAUAUACUUCACUGAUUCUUCAUUGCUAUUGUCAUAUUUCAUCAGUUCUAAGAUGAAUGUGUUUUCCCUCAUAUUUAACUCCUCUGAAAUCAAGAACAUUUUCCAGCUAAUGGUGUCUGGGGACAGUUUUGCCAUGAUUGUCAUUGCCUAUCCAUAUUUGAAUGUAUUGGCAUAACUGAAAAAGUGUAACUCCUUGACAUGUUAAUCAACACAUCAUUUAAGAACUAUUUGAAAAAGGAAUGUGAGAUUGCUAUUCUGAAACUCUUCUAAGAAUGCACCAAUAUGAAAUCUUGAAUAAUGUAUACAAAUAGCUUGGAGAAAAUCCUGAAAAAAAUAGCAGAAUGCUCUUUUAGGAAGUGCUGCAUCCAUGUUCUUGGCUGAGUAAAAAAUGUAGUUUGGAAGAAUUGAUUUCUGAAUACCAAGAAGUUUUGCAAAACCUUUAAAUAUUUAUUUAAUUUAUACUUCCCUUUUCAAUGUAUAAACAAGAACACUACAUGGAGGGAGGAAAGCCAAACCUAAUGUGUUUUUAAAUGCUCUUUCAAUACAUUUAAAACAAAAAUCUCAAAGGACAGUAAAAUGUAGUUUACUUGGCAUUUAUUUUAUUAUUUGUGGUAGGUAAAUAAUAAUACAUCGUAUAAAUCAAUGGUAUUUUAGAUUCAAUAAAAUAUAGCCUUUAGUCAUCAUAUCAUAGAACUAAAUACACCUAAAGCCAGGAGAGAUUUAGAGAACUAGUUUAACUUCUCCAUUUAAUAUUUGAGGAAGUAAGACGCAAAGAAAUUAAAUGAGUAGCCUGCGAUUACACAGCUCCCUGAUGUAUGAUGUUGACACCGAGGUUAUUUCAGAGGUCACCACUAACAACUGUUAUGAAUGAAGUUUAUUUACUUUUAAUAAAAUGCUAUCUUUUCCCAUACAGUGAGCAUACUUCUUCCUUAAUAUAAGAGUACUGUAGGCCGGGCGCGGUGGCUCACACCUGUAAUCCCAGCACUUUGGGAGGCCGAGGCGGGUGGAUCAUGAGGUCAGGAAAUCGAGACCAUCCUGGCUAACAAGGUGAAACCCCGUCUCUACUAAAAAUACAAAAAAUUAGCCGG